RNAcentral lists this unclassified non-coding RNA (146 nucleotides) under soil metagenome. RNAcentral describes it as "partial internal transcribed spacer 1". The record is from RNAcentral.
CUGAGUGAGGGCCUUCGGGCUCGACCUCCAACCCUUUGUGAACACAACUUGUUGCUUCGGGGGCGACCCUGCCGUUUCGACGGCGAGCGCCCCCGGAGGCCUUCAAACACUGCAUCUUUGCGUCGGAGUUUAAGUAAAAUUAAACA